UACGAAGGGGGCUAGCGUUGCUCGGAAUCACUGGGCGUAAAGGGUGCGUAGGCGGGUCUUUAAGUCAGGGGUGAAAUCCUGGAGCUCAACUCCAGAACUGCCUUUGAUACUGGGAAGCUCGAGUCCGAGAGAGGUGAGUGGAACUGCGAGUGUAGAGGUGAAAUUCGUAGAUAUUGGGAAGAACACCGGUGGCGAAGGCGGCUCUCUGGACCGACACUGACGCUGAGGCGCGAAAGCGUGGGGAGCAAACAGG
This 253-nucleotide ribosomal RNA is filed under the name uncultured bacterium. Its description in RNAcentral is "partial 16S ribosomal RNA". It matches the Rfam family "Bacterial small subunit ribosomal RNA", at positions 524 to 776 of the family's 1533-position model. The record is from RNAcentral.